UACGUAGGGGGCAAGCGUUGUCCGGAAUCAUUGGGCGUAAAGCGCGCGUAGGCGGCCAGAUAAGUCCGGUGUGAAAGUCACAGGCUCAACCUGUGAAUGCCGCUGGAAACUGUCUGGCUUGAGUCCGGAAGGGGCGAGUGGAAUUCCUGGUGUAGCGGUGAAAUGCGCAGAUAUCAGGAGGAACACCAAUGGCGAAGGCAGCUCGCUGGAACGGUACUGACGCUGGGGCGCGAAAGCGUGGGGAGCGAACAGG
Molecule: ribosomal RNA, 253 nt
Filed under: uncultured bacterium
Lineage: Bacteria
Description: partial 16S ribosomal RNA
Rfam family: Bacterial small subunit ribosomal RNA
Source: RNAcentral